UGGGGAAUCUUGGACAAUGGGGGCAACCCUGAUCCAGCCAUGCCGCGUGAGUGAUGAAGGCCUUAGGGUCGUAAAGCUCUUUCGCCUGUGAAGAUAAUGACGGUAGCAGGUAAAGAAACCCCGGCUAACUCCGUGCCAGCAGCCGCGGUAAUACGGAGGGGGUUAGCGUUGUUCGGAAUUACUGGGCGUAAAGCGCACGUAGGCGGACCAGAAAGUUGGGGGUGAAAUCCCGGGGGCUCAACCCCGGAACUGCCUCCAAAACUAUUGGUCUAGAGUUCGAGAGAGGUGAGUGGAAUUCCAAGUGUAGAGGUGAAAUUCGUAGAUAUUUGGAGGAACACCAGUGGCGAAGGCGGCUCACUGGCUCGAUACUGACGCUGAGGUGCGAAAGUGUGGGGAGCAAAACAGGAUUAGAUACCCUGGUAGUCCACACCGUAAAACGAUGAAUGCCAGUCGUCGGGUAGCAUGCUAUUCGGUGACACACCUAACGGAUUAAGCAUU
Molecule: ribosomal RNA, 498 nt
Filed under: uncultured bacterium
Lineage: Bacteria
Description: bacterial SSU rRNA
Rfam family: Bacterial small subunit ribosomal RNA
Source: RNAcentral